GAGUUUGAUCAUGGUUCAGGACGAACGCUGGCGGCACGCCUAACACAUGCAAGUCGAACGGAGAUAAUUGAGUUUACUUAAUUAUCUUAGUGGCGGACGGGUGAGUAACACGUGAGCAACCUGCCUCUGAGAGAGGGAUAGCUUCUGGAAACGGAUGGUAAUACCUCAUAACAUAUGCUUAAGGCAUCUUAGGCAUAUCAAAGAUUUAUCACUCAGAGAUGGGCUCGCGUCUGAUUAGCUAGAUGGUGAGGUAACGGCUCACCAUGGCGACGAUCAGUAGCCGGACUGAGAGGUUGAACGGCCACAUUGGGACUGAGACACGGCCCAGACUCCUACGGGAGGCAGCAGUGGGGAAUAUUGCACAAUGGGGGAAACCCUGAUGCAGCGAUGCCGCGUGGAGGAAGAAGGUUUUCGGAUUGUAAACUCCUGUCUUAAAGGACGAUAAUGACGGUACUUUAGGAGGAAGCUCCGGCUAACUACGUGCCAGCAGCCGCGGUAAUACGUAGGGAGCGAGCGUUGUCCGGAAUUACUGGGUGUAAAGGGAGCGUAGGCGGGAUGGUAAGUUAGAUGUGAAAUGCAGGGGCUCAACCCCUGAGCUGCAUUUAAAACUGCUGUUCUUGAGUGAAGUAGAGGUAAGCGGAAUUCCUGGUGUAGCGGUGAAAUGCGUAGAUAUCAGGAGGAACAUCGGUGGCGAAGGCGGCUUACUGGGCUUUUACUGACGCUGAGGCUCGAAAGCGUGGGGAGCAAACA
This 750-nucleotide ribosomal RNA is filed under the name uncultured bacterium. RNAcentral describes it as "bacterial SSU rRNA". It matches the Rfam family "Bacterial small subunit ribosomal RNA", at positions 9 to 774 of the family's 1533-position model. The record is from RNAcentral.